This 496-nucleotide ribosomal RNA is filed under the name uncultured bacterium. Its description in RNAcentral is "bacterial SSU rRNA". It matches the Rfam family "Bacterial small subunit ribosomal RNA", at positions 28 to 518 of the family's 1533-position model. The record is from RNAcentral.
GAUGAACGCUAGCGGCAGGCUUAACACAUGCAAGUCGAGGGGCAGCGCGGUGUAGCAAUACAUUGGCGGCGACCGGCGCACGGGUGCGUAACACGUAUGGAAUCUGCCCUUUUCUGGGAAAUAACCCGAAGAAAUUCGGACUAAUGUCCCAUAACAGGCGAGGUGGCAUCACCUUGCUUUGAAAGCUCCGGCGGAAAAGGAUGACCAUGCGCCCGAUUAGCUAGUUGGUGAGGUAACGGCUCACCAAGGCUACGAUCGGUAGGGGGCCUGAGAGGGUUAUCCCCCACACUGGUACUGAGACACGGACCAGACUCCUACGGGAGGCAGCAGUGAGGAAUAUUGCGCAAUGGAGGCAACUCUGACGCAGCCAUGCCGCGUGCAGGAUGAAGGCGCUACGCGUUGUAAACUGCUUUUAUCCGGGAAGAAACCCCUCACGUGUGGAGGGUUGACGGUACCGGAGGAAUAAGCACCGGCUAACUUCGUGCCAGCAGCCGAC